AUUGAACGCUGGCGGCAGGCCUAACACAUGCGAGUCGAGCGGAUGAAGGGAGCUUGUUCCUGGAUUCCGCGGCGGACGGGUGAGUAAUGCCCAGGAAUCUGCCUGGUAGUGGGGGAUAACGUCCGGAAACGGGCGCUAAUACCGCCUACGUCCUGCGGGUGCAGGUGGGGGUUCUUCGGACCUCUUGGUCUCAGGUGAGUCUAGGUGGGAUUAGUUAGUUGGUGGGGUAAAGGCCUACCUAGGCGACGAUCCGCAACUGGACUGAGAGGAGGAUCAGUCACACUGGAACUGAGACGCGGUCCAGACUCCUGCGGGAGGCAGCAGUGGGGAAUAUUGGGCAAUGGGCGAAAGCCUGAUCCAGCCGUGCCACGUGUGUGAAGAAGGUCUUCGGAUUGUAAAGCACUUUAAGUUGGGAUGAAGGGCAGUAAGUUAAUACCUAGCUGUUGUGACGGUACCAACAGAAUAAGCACCGGCUAACUUCGUG
RNAcentral lists this ribosomal RNA (484 nucleotides) under uncultured bacterium. Its description in RNAcentral is "partial 16S ribosomal RNA". It matches the Rfam family "Bacterial small subunit ribosomal RNA", at positions 30 to 507 of the family's 1533-position model. The record is from RNAcentral.